Molecule: long non-coding RNA, 1424 nt
Organism: Daphnia magna
Lineage: Eukaryota; Metazoa; Arthropoda; Branchiopoda; Diplostraca; Daphniidae
Exons: 3
Source: RefSeq, a predicted model, not a curated record
GUCCAAGAAAAAAGCAUGGUCAGAAUGCCACAUAUACCAUCUAGCGGCAAAAUAAUGCAUAUGGCAAUAAAACUUCUAUAUUCCUUCGCUAGCUGGCGAAAAAAUGCAAGUAAUUUAAAAUCAUUUUCACGCCCACAGUCCCGCGUGAAAUCGGAAAAUACGAAAAACUAGAAACUAGAUCUGGAAAAUGCGGCGAUGACAUGCAACCGAAUCAGAGGUACUGACGAGACCUUACACGAAAAAUUACUUUGAUUUCGAAAAGCGUGGACUUCUUCUACAUCAAUUAUUUCCCCAGAAAAUUAAGGACAAUGCAUAAUAUUCAUCUCGAGUGUGAAAGUAACCAUUGGAUUACAGGUGUUGAACAGGAGGCGGAAACACAUUGUACGAUUCGAAACAAAAGAAGAAGAACACUCUCUUCUCAAACCGCAAAGAGAGAAAAGACAUCCAUAGCUGGCAAUUGUUUUUACAUUCACGGAUGCUUGCGAUGUUGUAGAGACCGAGGAUGCGGUGUAGGGGGGAAAAGAAGAACAAAAAGAGUGAUGGCACAGGUGAAAGUCAUCUAUUCAUUUCAACCUGAAGAUUAGGAUUUUUCUGUUUCAAUUCCAAAAUUAGUGGAUGAUUGCCUGAAAGAAAGUUCUCAAAUAGUUGCGGUACCCAUUUAUUUUGGUUCUCAUGAAUUUGAAAUUUAAUGAUCUCGCAAGUCGGGCACAUGUCUCCAUAUUUCCAUUGACGACAUAUCAGCUGGACUUUCUCGCUUCCAUCACAUCGAAAUAAGUGUCCCUGAAAAUGAUUAAUGGACUACGUGCAUAAUAUACAGUUCACUUUCCAGGCACGAAAGAAUCGGCGGACCUUGUCGACAUGCACCGCUGACCAAAAGCUUUUGGGGAAAAAAAAAAAAAAAAUCUGAAUAAUGAAAACAAAAACCGGCGAAAGUUUGACGAGAUUCUAAUCGAUGCGACCGUGAGCCCCUUUUCGGGGAAAAAAAAAACAAAACACGCGUGACUCUCCUCCCGCUACAUAGAAGAUGAGCUACCCCUUAGGGGUUGUCCCUCGCAGCUGGAGUAUACGUGUGUGCUGACCCCCUGGACAUGCGGGGCACUUGUACAGCGAUGGUUAUCGCAUGUUUAAAAAUAUAUACGAAACGACAACAAGAGAAAUGCAAUAACGAAAGGAGAGAUGGAAAAAUCCAAAUGAAUCGUGACAAGCGGCGACCCUUGUGUUCCAUAGGGUCCCUGGAAUUGUCCAGGAUUGAUUUCUAGUAUUCCUUUUUUUUUUUUUUUUAAACAACGUUGGGUUUGGCGGUGUUUACAAAUGCAGUCAAAUUCGCAGUUUUACCUGACGAGAAAGUAUAACCAAUGCGGAAUAGCGGAUGAAUAAUGGUAUAUAGACAAAUUUAUUCUGCUAUUGAAAAUAUACUCAAACGU